CCUACGUGAGGCAGCAGUAGGGAAUUUUCCACAAUGGACGAAAGUCUGAUGGAGCAACGCCGCGUGAGUGAAGAAGGGUUUCGGCUCGUAAAGCUCUGUUGGUAGUGAAGAAAGAUAGAGGUAGUAACUGGCCUUUAUUUGACGGUAAUUACUUAGAAAGUCACGGCUAACUACGUGCCAGCAGCCGCGGUAAUACGGAGGUGGCAAGCGUUGUCCGGAUUUAUUGGGCGGAAAGGGAGUGCAGGCGGGUCAAUAGGUCUGACGUGAAAGCCUUCGGCCCAACCGGAGAAUUGCAUCAGAAACUGUUGAACUUGAGUGCAGAAGAGGAGAGUGGAACUCGAGGGGUAGCGGUGGAAUGCGUAGAUAUAUGGAAGAACACCAGUGGCGAGGGCGGCUCUCUGGUCUGCAACGGACGCUGAGGCUCGAAAGCAUGGGUAGCGAACAGGAUUAGAUACCCCAGUAGUC
RNAcentral lists this ribosomal RNA (465 nucleotides) under uncultured bacterium. RNAcentral describes it as "partial 16S ribosomal RNA". It matches the Rfam family "Bacterial small subunit ribosomal RNA", at positions 338 to 795 of the family's 1533-position model. The record is from RNAcentral.